Molecule: long non-coding RNA, 1115 nt
Organism: Wyeomyia smithii (pitcher-plant mosquito)
Lineage: Eukaryota; Metazoa; Arthropoda; Insecta; Diptera; Culicidae
Exons: 4
Source: RefSeq, a predicted model, not a curated record
CACAGGCUGAAAAUGUAUUUGUUUUCGAGAAGAAAAGUGGAGCAACGAACAAAAUGGCUACCAAGAUUGAUUCUCCAGAACCGACUGGCUCUUCAAAAAUGAAGCACGAGUUGAGAAAACAUGAAAAAGUAGCAUUGAGCCGUCGACAGUUAUAUUCCUCAGGUAGGGUUGAUUUAUUUUUGCUAAUUGCCAGUUUUAAACGUGCUUUUUUGUAUAAACUACGCAAAACACGAUUCAAAAGAAUGUAUUGAUUUCGAGAAAAGCAAAAAAUGGUGGUAGCCCCAACAGAUAAUGAAUUCAAACCUACACCUAAAUUCAAAAAUUCUGGAACUUCCGUAUCGAAGAAGCUGGAAUCCGAACUUCGUCAAACAACAGUUCCGAGACAAUUUGUUUCACCCGAGAUUUUUCCCCACAAACAACAAAAUAAAGAUAAAACUGAUUUGGCUGAUGAAUCCAUGAUGAGAAAUGACUCAGUUGACCUGUUGACCAACACUGACAGUGAUACUGGAGCAGAGAAUCAUCAUGGUGAAGCAAACCAAUCAAAAAUGGAUCGCCUGAUUAGACAGAACACAGUUUCAAAAAGACAAAACAACAAAACUUAAUGGAUGGAUCGCAUUUUUAGGUUAACUGACAUUCUCAAUGCUAAAGUUUGCGGGGAGCCAACGGACAUGAUUUUUACGGAAGUGCUUGGGUACCCCGAGAGAGGGUCACACCCUAAAGCGAUUCUCGGAGGCCGAAACGAGCGACUGCAUUUUUGUAUAGCUAUUGAUGAAGGAGCUGUGGUCAAUAGGCUUUAAAAAUAGAUCAGUAAGUGGCCGUGGUUCAAUUAACCCGCGUGGCCGCCCAUCUAAAAAAACUACUGUUACAGAGGCAGAACAGGUGUCACGACGCGAGCCACUGACACCUGAAAAGGUUAAAUACGUAAAAGAUCGUUUAAUUGAACAUCGAGUAUUUCUAGGAGAUCUUCCCGCGAUUUCCAAGCAGCGAGCAGAUGAAUGUGGCCGACUAAUGACUCGCGUAGUAUCGUACUAUGGUGCUACAUAAGCAAUCUAAUGCUACUGUAUUCUGGAACUGGAGUUUUCCUAAGGAUAAUUGGCAUUGAUAUUACCUUAUUU